GAUGAACGCUGGCGGCGUGCCUAAUACAUGCAAGUCGAGCGAACGGACGAGAAGCUUGCUUUUCUGAUGUUAGCGGCGGACGGGUGAGUAACACGUGGAUAACCUACCUCUUAGACUUGGAUAACUUCGGGAAACCGGAGCUACUACCGGGUCAUAUUUUGAACCGCAUGGUUCAAAAGUGAAUGACGGUCUUGAUGUCACUUAUAGAUGGAUCCGCGCUGCAUUAGCUAGUUGGUAAGGUAACGGCUUACCAAGGCAACGAUGCAUAGCCGACCUGAGAGAGUGAUCGGCCACACGAGAACUGAGACAGGGACAAGACUCCUACGGGAGGGAGCAGUAGGGAAUCUGCGGCAGUGGGCGAAAGCCUGACGGAGCAAGGCCGCGUGAGUGAUGAAGGUCUUCGGUGCGUAAAGCUGUGUUAUUGGUGAAGAACAUAUGUGUAAGGAACUGUACACAUCGUGACGGUACCUAAACAGAAAGCCACGGCUAACUACGUG
RNAcentral lists this ribosomal RNA (497 nucleotides) under uncultured bacterium. RNAcentral describes it as "partial 16S ribosomal RNA". It matches the Rfam family "Bacterial small subunit ribosomal RNA", at positions 28 to 507 of the family's 1533-position model. The record is from RNAcentral.